GAGUGUAUAGCUCAGUGGUAGAGCACAUGCUUAGCAUGCACGAGGUCCUGGGUUCAAUCCCCAGUACCCUUG
Molecule: transfer RNA, 72 nt
Filed under: Camelus bactrianus (Bactrian camel)
Lineage: Eukaryota; Metazoa; Chordata; Mammalia; Artiodactyla; Camelidae
Also listed under: 2 other names
Rfam family: tRNA
About the family: Transfer RNA (tRNA) molecules are approximately 80 nucleotides in length. Their secondary structure includes four short double-helical elements and three loops (D, anti-codon, and T loops).
Source: Rfam by way of RNAcentral